This 433-nucleotide ribosomal RNA is filed under the name uncultured bacterium. Its description in RNAcentral is "partial 16S ribosomal RNA". It matches the Rfam family "Bacterial small subunit ribosomal RNA", at positions 29 to 507 of the family's 1533-position model. The record is from RNAcentral.
AACGAACGCUGGCGGCAUGCCUAACACAUGCAAGUCGAACGAGACCUUCGGGUCUAGUGGCGCACGGGUGCGUAACGCGUGGGAACCUGCCCUUAGGCUCGGAAUAACUCCCCGUAAGGGGUGCUAAUACCGGAUAAUGUCUUCGGACUAAAGAUUUAUCGCCUUUGGAUGGGCCCGCGUUGGAUUAGCUAGUUGGUAGGGUAAAAGCCUACCAAGGCGACGAUCCAUAGCUGGUCUGAGAGGAUGAUCAGCCACACUAGGACUGAGACACGGCCCAGACUCCUACGGGAGGCAGCAGUGGGGAAUAUUGGACAAUGGGCGAAAGCCUGAUCCAGCAAUGCCGCGUGAUUGAUGAAGGCCUUAGGGUUGUAAAGCUCUUUUACCCGGGAUGAUAUUGACAGUACCGGGAGAAUAAGCUCCGGCUAACUCCGUG